This 1075-nucleotide long non-coding RNA is filed under the name Elaeis guineensis (African oil palm). Its description in RNAcentral is "long non-coding RNA (EGUI_LNC048495)". Lineage: Eukaryota; Viridiplantae; Streptophyta; Magnoliopsida; Arecales; Arecaceae. The record is from RNAcentral.
GCCCCCAUAGUCAUAUUAGAAAUAGGAGGAGAACCUCAUCCUAACAUGAGCAAAAAUGAAGGCUCGAUUAUUUAGAGACCGGAUGGAGAGAGAGGCCCUCGCAACGGCCCUUAUGCGCCCCCAUAGCCAUGAUUAGGAACAGGAGGAGAACCUCAUCCUAACAUGAGCAAAAAUGAAGGCCCGAUUAUUUAGAGACCAGAUGGAGAGAGAGGCCCUCGCAACGGCCCUUAUGUGCCCCCAUAGCCAUGUUAGGAAUAGGAGGAGAACCUCAUCCUAACAUGAGCAAAAAUGAAGGUCCGAUUAUUUAGAGAUCAGAUGAGGGGAGAGGCCCUCGCAACGACCCUUAUGCACCCCCACAGCCAUGUUAGGAACAGGAGGAGAAGCUUGUCCUAACAUGAGCAAAGUCAAAGACCUGAUUAUUUAGAGAUCGGAUGGAAGGAGAGGCCCUCGCAACGGCCCUUAUGCGCCCCCACAGGCAUGUUAGGAACAGGAGGAGAAUCUCAUCCUAACAUGAGCAAAGUCGAAGACCUGAUUAUUAAGAGACCGGAUGGGGGGGAGGCCCUCAUGACGGCCCUUAUGUGCCCCCACAGUCCUGUUAGGAACAUGAGAAAAACCUCAUCCUAACAUAAGCUGAAAUUGACUGUGUCAGGAACAGGAAGAGAACCUCAUCCUGAUACAAACGAAGACCUGAUCGUUUAAGACCGGAUGAGAGGAAAAGCCUCUUCAACGGCUCCUCUACACCCUUACAAUCCCAUUAGGAGCAGAGAGAAAACCCUCGCCCAAAUAUAAAAAAAAAGAGGAAGAGAGAAAAAGGGAAAGCGAUGAGCUACACCAGAGAUAAGAAAAAAAUAAACUACAUCUAAGAUACAAGGGACCUCAUCUCAACGAGGAAGAAAACUCUUGUCAAAAAUCUUUAGUCUCUAAGGGGGAACCCAACACUAGCAGGAGAAAAUAGACUUCCUCAAAGUAACGAAAAAUUCGGGCCCCAAGCUUAAACACCGGGAGAAAGCAUUAGAUUCGAAUGGCCUCGAAAAGACCUUCAGUCAUGAACAAAAAGGAAGAAUCAACACGGCGA